RNAcentral lists this ribosomal RNA (459 nucleotides) under uncultured bacterium. Its description in RNAcentral is "partial 16S ribosomal RNA". It matches the Rfam family "Bacterial small subunit ribosomal RNA", at positions 338 to 795 of the family's 1533-position model. The record is from RNAcentral.
CCUACGGGAGGCAGCAGUGAGGAAUAUUGGUCAAUGGGCGCGAGCCUGAACCAGCCAAGUCGCGUGAGGGAAGACGGUCCUAUGGAUGGUAAACCUCUUUUGUCGGGGAGCAAAAGACGCCACGCGUGGCCUUCCGAGAGUACCCGAAGUACAAGCAUCGGCUAACUCCGUGCCAGCAGCCGCGGUACUACGGAGGAUGCGAUUGUUGUCCGGAUUUAUUGGGUUUAAGGGGUGCGCAGCCGGAACAUCAAGUCAGCGGUAAAAUUGAGAGGUUGACCCUCUUCGAGCCGUUGAAACUGGUUUUCUUGAGUGAGCUAGAAGUAUGCCGAAUUCGUGGUGUAGCGGUGAAAUGCGUAGAUAUCACGCAGAACUCCGAUUGCGAAGGCAGCAUACCGGCGCUCAACUGACGCUCAUGCACGAAAGUGUGGGUAUCGAACAGGAUUAGAUACCCGUGUAGUC